GAUGAACGCUGGCGGCGUGCCUAAUACAUGCCAGUCGAGCGAACAGAUGAGGAGCUUGCUCCUCUGACGUUAGCGGCGGACGGGUGAGUAACACGUGGAUAACCUACCUAUAAGACUGGGAUAACUUCGGGAAACCGGAGCUAAUACCGGAUAAUAUAUUGAACCGCAUGGUUCAAUAGUGAAAGACGGUUUUGCUGUCACUUAUAGAUGGAUCCGCGCCGCAUUAGCUAGUUGGUAAGGUAACGGCUUACCAAGGCAACGAUGCGUAGCCGACCUGAGAGGGUGAUCAGCCACACUGGAACUGAGACACGGUCCAGACUCCUACGGGAGGCAGCAGUAGGGAAUCUUCCGCAAUGGGCGAAAGCCUGACGGAGCAACGCCGCGUGAGUGAUGAAGGUCUUCGGAUCGUAAAACUCUGUUAUUAGGGAAGAACAAAUGUGUAAGUAACUAUGCACGUCUUGACGGUACCUAAUCAGAAAGCCACGGCUAACUACGUG
This 497-nucleotide ribosomal RNA is filed under the name uncultured bacterium. RNAcentral's name for it is "partial 16S ribosomal RNA". It matches the Rfam family "Bacterial small subunit ribosomal RNA", at positions 28 to 507 of the family's 1533-position model. The record is from RNAcentral.